UGGAGGAUCCAAGCGUUAUCCGGAUUUAUUGGGUUUAAAGGGUGCGUAGGCGGCUUAUUAAGUCAGGGGUGAAAGACGGUGGCUCAACCAUCGCAGUGCCCUUGAUACUGAUGAGCUUGAAUGAACUAGAGGUAGGCGGAAUGUGACAAGUAGCGGUGAAAUGCAUAGAUAUGUCACAGAACACCGAUUGCGAAGGCAGCUUACUAUGGUUUUAUUGACGCUGAGGCACGAAAGCGUGGGGAUCAAACAGGAUUAGAUACCCUGGUAGUCCACGCCCUAAACGAUGAAUACUCGCUGUUAGCGAUAUACAGUUAGCGGCUAAGCGAAAGCGUUAAGUAUUCCACCUGGGAGUACGCCCGCAAGGGUG
This 367-nucleotide ribosomal RNA is filed under the name uncultured organism. RNAcentral describes it as "bacterial SSU rRNA". It matches the Rfam family "Bacterial small subunit ribosomal RNA", at positions 526 to 896 of the family's 1533-position model. The record is from RNAcentral.